UACGGAGGGUGCAAGCGUUAUCCGGAUUCACUGGGUUUAAAGGGUGCGUAGGCGGGUAUGUAAGUCAGUGGUGAAAUCUCGAAGCUUAACUUCGAAACUGCCAUUGAUACUAUAUAUCUUGAAUAUUGUGGAGGUUUGCGGAAUAUGUCAUGUAGCGGUGAAAUGCUUAGAUAUGACAUAGAACACCUAUUGCGAAGGCAGCAGGCUACACAUAUAUUGACGCUGAGGCACGAAAGCGUGGUGAUCAAACAGG
RNAcentral lists this ribosomal RNA (253 nucleotides) under uncultured bacterium. RNAcentral describes it as "partial 16S ribosomal RNA". It matches the Rfam family "Bacterial small subunit ribosomal RNA", at positions 524 to 776 of the family's 1533-position model. The record is from RNAcentral.